AGUGAACGCUGGCGGUAGGCCUAACACAUGCAAGUCGAACGGCAGCACAGUAAGAGCUUGCUCUUACGGGUGGCGAGUGGCGGACGGGUGAGGAAUGCAUCGGAAUCUACUUUUUCGUGGGGGAUAACGUAGGGAAACUUACGCUAAUACCGCAUACGACCUACGGGUGAAAGCAGGGGAUCUUCGGACCUUGCGCGAUUGAAUGAGCCGAUGUCGGAUUAGCUAGUUGGCGGGGUAAAGGCCCACCAAGGCGACGAUCCGUAGCUGGUCUGAGAGGAUGAUCAGCCACACUGGAACUGAGACCCGGUCCAGACUCCUCCGGGGGGCAGCAGUGGGGAAUAUUGGAAAAUGGGCGCAAGCCUGAUCCAGCCAUACCGCGUGGGUAAAGAAGGCCUUCGGGUUUUAAAGCCCUUUUGUUGGGAAAGAAAAGCAGCAGGUUAAUACCCCGCUGUUCUGACGGUACCCAAAGAAUAAGCCCCGGCUAACUUCGU
RNAcentral lists this ribosomal RNA (491 nucleotides) under uncultured bacterium. RNAcentral describes it as "partial 16S ribosomal RNA". It matches the Rfam family "Bacterial small subunit ribosomal RNA", at positions 29 to 506 of the family's 1533-position model. The record is from RNAcentral.